GAAAAAAACCAAAAAAGAAA
Molecule: small RNA, 20 nt
Filed under: Arabidopsis thaliana (thale cress)
Lineage: Eukaryota; Viridiplantae; Streptophyta; Magnoliopsida; Brassicales; Brassicaceae
Description: ATSL132120
Source: RNAcentral